UGGGUGUGAGCAUUAGCUGCUCUAACCCCACACAUCCUGUCUUCUCAGUCUGAGAGGCAUCAGCAGAGGAACCUUCAUGCAGAGUCUCCCUGAGCACAGGACUGACUGUCUCUCUCCUUCACAGGAAGUGUCCUCUCUGAGGAGCUGCCCUCUGGGUAUGAAGAUGUGGAGGACAGUGAGGGAGACCCUCUCUCAGGUUCAGGGUUGAUGGUGACAGGAGACACAGCAGAGGACUAUGAUGAUGUAGAUGGUAUAGAGCAGAGCCCACAUGUUAUACAGGGUGAGAGAGCUUUGACCACACUGCCCCCUGGGGAGGGCCCCCCUGAACCUGACCAGACUGACUAUGAUGAUGUGGGGGAGGAGGGACUGACAGUCCUGCCUGAGGAAGCUCCUGUCCGAAGGUUCAUGAAGAUGUUCUUCAAAUGAGCUUCAUGACAGCAGCAUCUACCACAUUAACAUUGCGAUAUUUAUUUAAG
This is a long non-coding RNA of Brienomyrus brachyistius, 476 nucleotides long. RefSeq lists it as uncharacterized. The record is from RefSeq and is a predicted model, not a curated record. The transcript is spliced from 3 exons. Lineage: Eukaryota; Metazoa; Chordata; Actinopteri; Osteoglossiformes; Mormyridae.